Molecule: transfer RNA, 68 nt
Filed under: Magallana belcheri
Lineage: Eukaryota; Metazoa; Mollusca; Bivalvia; Ostreida; Ostreidae
Description: Crassostrea belcheri tRNA-Trp
Source: RNAcentral
UGGACCAUAAGUUAAAUAUAAAACUAUCAAACUUCAAAUUUGAAACUACUCGUAUUGGGUUGGUCUAA